Molecule: small nuclear RNA, 163 nt
Organism: Budorcas taxicolor (takin)
Lineage: Eukaryota; Metazoa; Chordata; Mammalia; Artiodactyla; Bovidae
Product: U1 spliceosomal RNA
Exons: 1
Source: RefSeq, a predicted model, not a curated record
GUCCUUACCUGUCAGGGGACUUGCCAUAAUCACGAAGGUGGUUUUCCAGGGUGUGGUUCAUCCAGCACACUCCAGAUGUGCUAACCCCUGUGAUUUCCCCAAAUGCAGAAAACUCGACUGCAUAAUUUGUGGUAGUGGGGGACUGAGUUCACGCUCUCCCUAG